GUGAAUCAUCGAAUCUUUGAACGCACAUUGCACCCGGUGGCAUUCCGCCGGGUAUGCCUGUUCGAGCGUCAUUAUAACCACUCAAGCCUGUCUUGGUGUUGGGGAUUGCGAAUCUCGCAGCCCUAGAGUCCAGUAGCGUCACCUGUGGGUCCUAAGCGUAGUAAUUUCUCCUCGCUACAGAGCCUGCUCGUGGAUAGUGUAAAUCCAGUUCGGUCUGGUAUCCCGCUAUUAAACCCCCAAUUUUCAAAGGUUGACCUCGGAUCAAGUAGGGAUACCCGCUGAACUUAAGCAUAUCAAUAAGCGGAGGA
This 308-nucleotide unclassified non-coding RNA is filed under the name Helotiales sp. Its description in RNAcentral is "partial contains 5.8S ribosomal RNA, internal transcribed spacer 2, and large subunit ribosomal RNA". The stretch from base 1 to 71 matches the Rfam family "5.8S ribosomal RNA", at positions 84 to 154 of the family's 154-position model. Lineage: Eukaryota; Fungi; Ascomycota; Leotiomycetes; Helotiales. The record is from RNAcentral.